RNAcentral lists this ribosomal RNA (475 nucleotides) under Nocardia levis. RNAcentral's name for it is "bacterial SSU rRNA". It matches the Rfam family "Bacterial small subunit ribosomal RNA", at positions 102 to 591 of the family's 1533-position model. Lineage: Bacteria; Bacillati; Actinomycetota; Actinomycetes; Mycobacteriales; Nocardiaceae. The record is from RNAcentral.
ACGGGUGAGUAACACGUGGGUGAUCUGCCUCGCACUUCGGGAUAAGCCUGGGAAACUGGGUCUAAUACCGGAUAUGACCAGGGGCUGCAUGGUUUUUGGUGGAAAGAUUUAUCGGUGCGAGAUGGGCCCGCGGCCUAUCAGCUUGUUGGUGGGGUAAUGGCCUACCAAGGCGACGACGGGUAGCCGGCCUGAGAGGGCGACCGGCCACACUGGGACUGAGACACGGCCCAGACUCCUACGGGAGGCAGCAGUGGGGAAUAUUGCACAAUGGGCGAAAGCCUGAUGCAGCGACGCCGCGUGAGGGAUGACGGCCUUCGGGUUGUAAACCUCUUUCGACAGGGACGAAGCGCAAGUGACGGUACCUGUAGAAGAAGCACCGGCCAACUACGUGCCAGCAGCCGCGGUAAUACGUAGGGUGCGAGCGUUGUCCGGAAUUACUGGGCGUAAAGAGCUUGUAGGCGGUUUGUCGCGUCGU